RNAcentral lists this transfer RNA (76 nucleotides) under subsurface metagenome. RNAcentral's name for it is "tRNA-Met". It matches the Rfam family "tRNA". Rfam says of the family: Transfer RNA (tRNA) molecules are approximately 80 nucleotides in length. The record is from RNAcentral.
CGCGGAGUAGAGCAGUGGUCAGCUCGUUGGCCUCAUAAGCCGAAGGUCGUGGGUUCGAAUCCCACCUCCGCUACCA